Stegodyphus dumicola is the source of this 627-nucleotide long non-coding RNA. The record is from RefSeq and is a predicted model, not a curated record. Lineage: Eukaryota; Metazoa; Arthropoda; Arachnida; Araneae; Eresidae.
UUUUGUACCCGUUUUGGUGCUUUUCGCUGUCUCACACUAGAAAAGAGUGAUUUCGGCGAAUUAGAUAAUUUUCUUUUAUACGGUUUUCAAGAACGGAACAUCUAUGAAACACUUAUCACUAAAUUUAGCCGUGACCGCGGCUUUGUUCCUGUUGUUGCCCGAUGUAUCUGCUGUCGUCUCUAAACGUUGCCAAUCUGUUUGCAAUCGGUCGGACGGACAGGAGUUCUGUCAACGUUGUCGAAUGCGUGUGCCCAUGCGAUUCGGUAAGAGGGCGGAGCCCAUCAGAGGAGAUGUUGCAGGCCAGAAAAAAUUAAUGCAGCAGCUGACAGAAGAUGAUGAUGAAGACAGUCGAUUCGAAAUGCCAAACCAUCCUCAGACAGAGAAAGAGAAUAUGAGAGCAGAAGCACGUUUGUUGCUCAACUCCAUGAGGACCUUCAUAAGAGAUUUGGAGGAAUGGGAUCGGGAGCAAUAUGACCGCUAAACCAAUCAGAACAUUUCAAUUAAAUUGUUUGUUAAUAAGUUUACUUUGGAUUCUGUGUAAAUUCUGCCGUAUUACUAUUCUGUCUUGCAAAAUUUCAUUAUUUUGAAGAAAUGAAUAUUCAUUAAACAACACAAAAAUUAAAGAAA